UGGGGAAUAUUGCACAAUGGGCGCAAGCCUGAUGCAGCGACGCCGCGUGAGGGAUGACGGCCUUCGGGUUGUAAACCUCUUUCAGCAGGGGAGAAGCGAAAGUGACGGUACCUGCAGAAGAAGCGCCGGCUAACUACGUGCCAGCAGCCGCGGUAAUACGUAGGGCGCGAGCGUUGUCCGGAAUUAUUGGGCGUAAAGAGCUUGUAGGCGGUUUGUCGCGUCUGCUGUGAAAGCCCGGGGCUUAACUCC
Molecule: ribosomal RNA, 249 nt
Filed under: uncultured Micrococcaceae bacterium
Lineage: Bacteria; Bacillati; Actinomycetota; Actinomycetes; Micrococcales; Micrococcaceae
Description: partial 16S ribosomal RNA
Rfam family: Bacterial small subunit ribosomal RNA
Source: RNAcentral